RNAcentral lists this long non-coding RNA (571 nucleotides) under Vulpes vulpes (red fox). RNAcentral's name for it is "lncRNA (ENSVVUG00000018370.1)". Lineage: Eukaryota; Metazoa; Chordata; Mammalia; Carnivora; Canidae. The record is from RNAcentral.
AAUAUCACCUUUAAGCAUCAGAUUAAACUAAGAAGAACAUCAUUAGUUUAGUGGGAUGAGGAGACGCUUCUUUCUUCCUGAUGAUUGGAAGUAGUACUAAAUCCAGAAAACUCAAAUGACCUCCCAGGGAACAAGGAAGAAUUUUCACUUCAAAUAUUGUCUGUGGUAUGUAGAGAAUAUCAAAUACUUUAGGCAGUUCUUGCAGAAGGAUUCAGAAGCAGGGGGCUGGACACUAUUCUGCUUCAAUCUUAUUGCUACUUUCCUGAGAAGGAUCUGCAAGUCCGAACGCUCUGCGCCGGGUUACAACUACUGUGCAAACCUCCUAGUCUUGCUUGAAAGGGACAGAUGGAGAGGUCUGACUUUUGAGGACAACGACAGAAGAAAGAACAUAUUAAAUCCUGCACACCGGUGCAAAGCUCAAGGCUUGCUAAAAGUUUUCUUACUGAAGAGACUAUACAAUACUUCCACAGGGAAACAGGAAAUACAGCAAAACUCAACAAAAGAGAAAAGCUGUCAUUAUCAAAAGACAAUUUAAUUUAAAGCAUAUUAAUAAAUGCACCAUGAACUCCCA